Non-coding RNA from Desulfobacter postgatei 2ac9, 236 nucleotides. Lineage: Bacteria; Pseudomonadati; Thermodesulfobacteriota; Desulfobacteria; Desulfobacterales; Desulfobacteraceae. The record is from Rfam.
AAAGUCCUGAAGGAGGAAUUAUCCGUACGCCUUCUUAGCACCGGGAAGCAGCGUCUGGGUAACCAGAGGUUGUAAGUUUCUUAUGGGCAAAGAUGCAGGCCGUAACGAAAGUGAACCUAUAUGUAGCCUCGUCAACUAAUUGAAGAUGCCGACCUUUUGGACAUCAAGGGAAGGCCGUAGUGCCUGGGAGUAGAAAACGGAAAUCCUUUCAGGUGAUCUUCCGGGGUAGCAGGGAU